RNAcentral lists this small RNA (2215 nucleotides) under Pongo abelii (Sumatran orangutan). Its description in RNAcentral is "retained intron". The record is from RNAcentral. Lineage: Eukaryota; Metazoa; Chordata; Mammalia; Primates; Hominidae.
GUUACUUGGAAGCCAGAGCCCUCAGGACUUGAUUAUAGAUAGGAUAUAAAUGUAGGUUUGGUGGUGGUGAUGGAUAUCCAGGAUAAGCAUGGCACCGCUUAGAGGUGCCAUGCUUCAGAGGGUGCCGUGACUUGGGGUGUGCCAGGGCCUCUUGGUCCAGACGCCUGGAAGACCCAAGUGGGGAUGACAGUGCAGUUGAAUAUGUGAGUUGGGAUCAGGAGAAGUCUAUGCAGGAGGUAAUGUAGAAAAUUAAUUUUAGGAAAUUGAAUCUUGCAGUGCUUGGCACAAUGCAUGAAAAGGGAGACUGAUGGCAUGUGGACUACUCAGAAAACUGUGGCAACACUGUUGGGUGCAAGGUGACCUUUUGAGAUGGGCUGACAGUGGGGACUGCCAACUCAUGUGUCUGUUUAGCUCAGCUUUUCCUGUACCCAUCCUCCGUCCCCCCAGCCAUGUGGGAAGGAAAUGUUUGGCCCUCUGACCCUCACUACAUCCCACAGACUGGGAUGGAAAGGUGUCUGAGAUUAAGAAGAAGAUCAAGUCGAUCCUGCCUGGAAGGUCCUGUGAUCUACUGCAAGACACCAGCCACCUGCCCCCCGAGCACUCGGAUGUGGUGAUCGUGGGAGGUGGGGUGCUUGGCUUGUCUGUGGCCUAUUGGCUGAAGAAGCUGGAGAGCAGACGAGGUGCUAUUCGAGUGCUAGUGGUGGAACGGGACCACACGUAUUCACAGGCCUCCACUGGGCUCUCAGUAGGUGGGAUUUGUCAGCAGUUCUCAUUGCCUGAGAACAUCCAGCUCUCCCUCUUUUCAGCCAGCUUUCUACGGAAUAUCAAUGAGUACCUGGCCGUAGUCGAUGCCCCUCCCUUGGACCUCCGGUUCAGCCCCUCAGGCUACCUCUUGCUGGCUUCAGAAAAGGAUGCUGCAGCCAUGGAGAGCAACGUGAAAGUGCAGAGGGAUGGAGGACGAAGGUUGGUUUGACCCCUGGUGUCUGCUCCAGGGCCUUCGGCGAAAGGUCCAGUCCUUGGGAGUCCUUUUCUGCCAGGGAGAGGUGACACGUUUUGUCUCUUCAUCUCAACGCAUGUUGACCACAGAUGACAAAGCGGUGGUCUUGAAAAGGAUCCAUAAAGUCCACGUGAAGAUGGACUGCAGCCUGGAGUACCAGCCUGUGGAAUGCGCCAUUGUGGUCAACGCAGCCGGAGCCUGGUCUGCGCAAAUCGCAGCGCUGGCUGGUAUUGGAGAGGGGCCACCUGGCACCCUGCAGGGCACCAAGCUACCUGUGGAGCCGAGGAAAAGGUAUGUGUAUGUAUGGCACUGCCCCCAGGGACCAGGCCUAGAGACUCCGCUUGUUGCAGACACCAGUGGAGCCUAUUUUCGCCGGGAAGGAUUAGGUAGCAACUACCUAGGUGGUCGUAGCCCCACUGAGCAGGAAGAACCGGACCCAGCGAACCUGGAAGUGGACCAUGAUUUCUUCCAGGACAAGGUGUGGCCCCAUUUGGCCCUGAGGAUCCCAGCUUUUGAGACUCUGAAGGUUCAGAGCGCCUGGGCCAGCUAUUACGACUACAACACCUUUGACCAGAAUGGCGUGGUGGGCCCCCACCCGCUAGUUGCCAACAUGUACUUUGCUACUGGCUUCAGUGGUCACGGGCUCCAGCAGGCCCCUGGCGUUGGGCGAGCUGUAGCAGAGAUGAUACUGAAGGGCAGGUUCCAGACCAUCGACCUGAGCCCCUUCCUCUUUACCCGCUUUUACUUGGGAGAGAAGAUCCAAGAGAACAACAUCAUCUGAGCAUGUGUGCUCUGCACUGGCUCCACUGGCUUGCAUCCUGGCUGUGUUCACAGCCUUCUUUGCUGCUUCCAUCUUCCCCAGCACUGUGCCAGGCCUUCUCCCCCUCCCCAGUGUCCUCUCCUCUCAGGCAGGCCAUUGCACCCACAUGGCUGGGCAGGUGCAGGCACUGAGGCCCAGGCCAAUAGCGAGUGAUGAGCGGGAUCCUAGGACUGAUCUGUAGCCCAUAUUGAUGUCACCCACCAGGGCAAUCCAUCUAGAGGCCUGAGCACCCUGGCCCAGGACUGGCUCCAUCCUGGCACUGACCAGGAAAGACUGCCUCUGACCCUCUUAGCAGACAGAGCCCAGGCAUGGGAGCACUCUGGGGCAGCCUGGCUCAGGUUUAUUGAUUUUUGUCUGUUUACCCUAUCCAUUAAUCAAUACAUGUAAUUAACUCCUUC